RNAcentral lists this ribosomal RNA (486 nucleotides) under uncultured bacterium. Its description in RNAcentral is "partial 16S ribosomal RNA". The record is from RNAcentral.
GUAGUUAGCCGGGGCUUCCUCACAGAUUACCGUCACUUCCUUCGUCAUCUGCGACAGAGGUUUACAAUCCGAAAACCUUCUUCCCUCACGCGGCGUUGCUGGGUCAGGCUUGCGCCCAUUGCCCAAUAUUCCCCACUGCUGCCUCCCGUAGGAGUCUGGACCGUGUCUCAGUUCCAGUGUGGCCGAUCAGCCUCUCAGCUCGGCUACCCAUCGUUGACUAGGUGGGCCGUUACCCCGCCUACUAUCUAAUGGGACGCGAGCCCCUCCUUUUGCGGAUUACUCCUUUUACCCCUCUGCCAUGUGACAGUGUGGUCUUAUGCGGUAUUAGCAACGAUUUCUCGUUGUUAUCCCCCUCAAAAGGUCAGGUUGCUCACGCGUUACUCACCCGUUCGCCACUAAGUUUACAACCGAAGUCAUAAACUCCGUUCGACUUGCAUGUGUUAGGCACGCCGCCAGCGUUCGUCCUGAGCCAGGAUCAAACUCUGA